RNAcentral lists this long non-coding RNA (213 nucleotides) under Panicum hallii. Its description in RNAcentral is "long non-coding RNA (PHAL_LNC000796)". The record is from RNAcentral. Lineage: Eukaryota; Viridiplantae; Streptophyta; Magnoliopsida; Poales; Poaceae.
CAUUAAGGCUGAAGGCCGGCUACACAGCUGACCCACCAGUCGGUGGAGUACGCCAAGACACAGACCAUACGGAUGCAUAGUUUGACUAGUCUACCAAUAUACCAUCGACUAGUUACUCGCACUAAUCGACUAGCAUGCCGAUUCACAGAUCGACUAGAACACAUACACAAAUCGGCUCAGCCAAUGUUCACACAAUCAACCAGUUUUGUUAAA